GAAAUGCGAUAAGUAAUGUGAAUUGCAGAAUUCAGUGAAUCAUCGAAUCUUUGAACGCACAUUGUGCCCCUUGGUAUUCCAUGGGGCAUGCCUGUUCGAGCGUCAUUUGUACCCUCAAGCUCUGCUUGGUGUUGGGUGUUUGUCCCCGUCUCCGCGCGUGGACUCGCCCCAAAGUGAUUGGCAGCCGGCGUACUGGUCCCGGAGCGCAGCACAUGUCGCGCAAACGAGUGCCUUGGUACGGCGGCGUCCAUAAGCCCCUCUCUCACGCUCUUGACCUCGGAUCAGGUAGGGAUACCCGCUGAACUUAAGC
Molecule: unclassified non-coding RNA, 310 nt
Filed under: plant metagenome
Description: partial contains 5.8S ribosomal RNA, internal transcribed spacer 2, and large subunit ribosomal RNA
Rfam family: 5.8S ribosomal RNA (bases 1-105)
Source: RNAcentral